GAAAAAACCAGGCGAGUGACAUUUUUCACUAAGUUUCAGAAUAUAGCCAUUGUUGGCAACAAUGUAGUAUUUUUAUAGAUUGAAGUUCAGCUAGAUGUCCAAUUGGUCCAUUAAUUUCCAUUCCCUAUCCUCCAUCUGUUAGCAAGUAUUUGGUAUUUAUAGUCUUUCACUUUGCUCAGAUCGUAUGCUCUUCUUCACUGUAGUGGGAGAAAUGCAAUUCUUAGGUAAACUACGAUGUUGAAUACAUUGUUAUUAGUCAUCAAUAAAUAUACCAAGAUAUGCAUUUUUCUGUCAUUUCAUUAUCAUUGCAAUGACACUGUCAGAUCCAUCCUUCCCCGCACACUCGCAGAGACAUCUUCCAAGUACAUACACCAUUUCAAUGUCCAAACUCAUAUUUUUUGCGUUUCUUUUGCUAAAAUCUUCUUGAUUCUGAGCACUGGUACUAGAAAGCAUAAUCCAGUUUAGUAAAGAAUCACGUUGCAGAUUAGGAAGUCUCGCUCUUUUUUACGGCAGCGAUGAUAGCAUAGAACUUCUCUGCGAAACCCGAGCAAACUUCCCUUAUUUUGUGCCUCUUGGUUUUCCUAAUUCUGUUUUGUUCUUUCUGACUUAUAACUGAACUAGAGGACUUGAAUAUGGUCAGAGGCAGAGCAUGAAGGUGAUGAUACAGAAGUUGCACGACCAAUAAGGUUAAGUCCAAUGCUUAAUUUAGCUUCCUUUUCUUGGUAGCAUGGUUGAGUGUUAUUACAUUAUCCACCAAAACUUGAUCUUUGAGUUUCUCAUCUUUUGAUCAUACAAAGUGCAAUGAGAUUCAGGUAAUGUACAAAGUGGAUAGUGAUUCUUCCACAAAUUUGUUUUUACCUUAAAUAUGCUAUUUGGACUGGUCCUUUAGGUGGAAUUUUUUUUCCCUAAAUACUUAAUCCUUUUGGAAGAUAACCUUCCCUGGUUUUGGAGAGGGUAAUAGGCUGGUUCGCUGCUUCUUUGUCUUAGCAGUUACCAAUACACACUCACUUAUUAGUCUUUUGCAGUGUUGGUAACUAAGUGAGUUUUAUGGGAACAUAUGUUGGUGUUUCCUCUAUCAGAUGAAGGAAUUGGAUAGCUCUUGCACGUUCUGCGUUUCUUAACUGCGGGUGUUUCAGUCUCCACAAUCUGAUACAUAUGAUUAUUCUUAGAUAGAUGUUAAUGUAUGAUGUUGGAAGAGGUAAAGAUUGGACAGUACUUCUGCUGAUCUUGGUGAAUAUAUACUAUAUAUAUGUAAUAAUAACUCAAAAGACCACACAUUAACUUUAUAAUUUCAUUUGCAGUUCCAACCUACAUCUGCAGUGGGACCUUCCAAUCUUCAAUAUAGAUCUUCUUUCAAGUGA
Molecule: long non-coding RNA, 1361 nt
Organism: Lolium rigidum
Lineage: Eukaryota; Viridiplantae; Streptophyta; Magnoliopsida; Poales; Poaceae
Exons: 2
Source: RefSeq, a predicted model, not a curated record